Molecule: unclassified non-coding RNA, 111 nt
Organism: Microcebus murinus (gray mouse lemur)
Lineage: Eukaryota; Metazoa; Chordata; Mammalia; Primates; Cheirogaleidae
Rfam family: Y RNA
About the family: Y RNAs are components of the Ro ribonucleoprotein particle (Ro RNP), in association with Ro60 and La proteins. The Y RNAs and Ro60 and La proteins are well conserved, but the function of the Ro RNP is not known.
Source: Ensembl
GGUUAAUGCAAAGGUAGAGAGUGAUCUCUAUUGAUUGUCCACAGUCAGCUACAGAUGGAACUCCUUGUUCUUCUCUGCCUCCUUCUCACUACUGCACUUGACUAGUCUUAA